AAGGCCAGUGCUUGCACUGGUACUCGAGUGGCGAACGGGUGAGUAACACGUGGGUGAUCUGCCCUGCACUUCGGGAUAAGCCUGGGAAACUGGGUCUAAUACCGGAUAGGACCACAUUUUGGAUGGUGUGGUGGAAAGUUUUUCGGUGUGGGAUGAGCUCGCGGCCUAUCAGCUUGUUGGUGGGGUAAUGGCCUACCAAGGCGUCGACGGGUAGCCGGCCUGAGAGGGUGUACGGCCACAUUGGGACUGAGAUACGGCCCAGACUCCUACGGGAGGCAGCAGUGGGGAAUAUUGCACAAUGGGCGCAAGCCUGAUGCAGCGACGCCGCGUGGGGGAUGACGGCCUUCGGGUUGUAAACUCCUUUCGCUAGGGACGAAGCUUUUUUGUGACGGUACCUGGAGAAGAAGCACCGGCUAACUACGUGCCAGCAGCCGCGGUAAUACGUAGGGUGCGAGCGUUGUCCGGAAUUACUGGGCGUAAAGAGCUCGUAGGUGGUUUGUCGCGUCGUUUGUGUAAGCCCGCAGCUUAACUGCGGGACUGCAGGCGAUACGGGCAUAACUUGAGUGCUGUAGGGGAGACUGGAAUUCCUGGUGUAGCGGUGGAAUGCGCAGAUAUCAGGAGGAACACCGAUGGCGAAGGCAGGUCUCUGGGCAGUAACUGACGCUGAGGAGCGAAAGCAUGGGUAGCGAACAGGAUUAGAUACCCUGGUAGUCCAUGCCGUAAACGGUGGGCGCUAGGUGUGAGUCCCUUCCACGGGGUUCGUGCCGUAGCUAACGCAUUAAGCGCCCCGCCUGGGGAGUACGGCCGCAAG
RNAcentral lists this ribosomal RNA (811 nucleotides) under Corynebacterium sp. ICU2. Its description in RNAcentral is "bacterial SSU rRNA". It matches the Rfam family "Bacterial small subunit ribosomal RNA", at positions 69 to 892 of the family's 1533-position model. The record is from RNAcentral. Lineage: Bacteria; Bacillati; Actinomycetota; Actinomycetes; Mycobacteriales; Corynebacteriaceae.